This 106-nucleotide ribosomal RNA is filed under the name Erinaceus europaeus (western European hedgehog). Lineage: Eukaryota; Metazoa; Chordata; Mammalia; Eulipotyphla; Erinaceidae. The record is from RNAcentral.
ACAGCCAUACCACAUAGAAAACACUUGACCUCUUCUCAUCUCAGAGGCUAAGCAGGGUCAGGUCUGGCUAGUACUUAGCUGGGAGAAAAUAAAUUCAUACCCUGUC